GCUGUGGCUCAAAGGCAAAGCAUCUGCUUUGCAUGCAGAAGAUCCCAGCUUCAUUCCCUGGCAUCAAUG
Molecule: non-coding RNA, 69 nt
Organism: Podarcis lilfordi (Lilford's wall lizard)
Lineage: Eukaryota; Metazoa; Chordata; Lepidosauria; Squamata; Lacertidae
Source: the annotation of a GenBank genome assembly